UAAUACGAGGGGUGCAAGCGUUGCUCGGAAUUAUUGGGCGUAAAGGGUAGGUAGGUGGUCUUGUUUGUCUGUGGUGAAAUCCUUGGGCUUAACCCAAGAAGUGCCAUAGAAACGGCAAGACUCGAGUUCUGGAGAGGGUCGUGGAAUUCCCGGUGUAGCGGUGAAAUGCGUAGAGAUCGGGAGGAACACCAGAGGCGAAGGCGGCGACCUGGACAGAUACUGACACUCAACUACGAAAGCGUGGGUAGCAAACAGGAUUAGAUACCCUGGUAGUCCACGCCGUAAACGAUCGGUACUAGGCUUGAAAGGUCUUGACCCCUUUCGAGCCGGAGCUAACGCGAUAAGUACCGCGCCUGGGAAGUACGGUCGCAAGACUA
Molecule: ribosomal RNA, 377 nt
Filed under: uncultured bacterium
Lineage: Bacteria
Description: bacterial SSU rRNA
Rfam family: Bacterial small subunit ribosomal RNA
Source: RNAcentral